UGCCAGACUCCUACGGGAGGCAGCAGUGGGGAAUAUUGCACAAUGGGGGAAACCCUGAUGCAGCAACGCCGCGUGAGUGAGGAAGUAUUUCGGUAUGUAAAGCUCUAUCAGCAGGGAAUAGAAAAGAAGGUACCUGAAAAAGAAGCCCCGGCUAACUACGUGCCAGCAGCCGCGGUAAUACGUAGGGGGCAAGCGUUAUCCGGAUUUACUGGGUGUAAAGGGAGCGUAGACGGCAAUGCAAGCCAGAUGUGAAAUACCGGGGCUCAACCCCGGGGCUGCAUUGGAAACUGACAGGCUGGAGUGUCGGAGAGGCAGGCGGAAUUCCUAGUGUAGCGGUGAAAUGCGUAGAUAUUAGGAGGAACACCAGUGGCGAAGGCGGCCUGCUGGACGAUGACUGACGCUGAGGCUCGAAAGCGUGGGGAGCAAACAGGAUUAGAUCCCCCCGUA
This 447-nucleotide ribosomal RNA is filed under the name uncultured bacterium. RNAcentral describes it as "partial 16S ribosomal RNA". It matches the Rfam family "Bacterial small subunit ribosomal RNA", at positions 329 to 792 of the family's 1533-position model. The record is from RNAcentral.